RNAcentral lists this ribosomal RNA (440 nucleotides) under uncultured bacterium. Its description in RNAcentral is "bacterial SSU rRNA". It matches the Rfam family "Bacterial small subunit ribosomal RNA", at positions 340 to 773 of the family's 1533-position model. The record is from RNAcentral.
UACGGAAGGCAGCAGUGGGGAAUAUUGCACAAUGGGCGCAAGCCUGAUGCAGCCAUGCCGCGUGUAUGAAAAAGGCCUUCGGGUUGUAAAGUACUUUCAGUCGUGAGGAAGGUGUUAAGGUUAAUAACCUUAGCAAUUGACGUUAGCGACAGAAGAAGCACCGGCUAACUCCGUGCCAGCAGCCGCGGUAAUACGGAGGGUGCGAGCGUUAAUCGGAAUUACUGGGCGUAAAGGGCACGCAGGCGGUUAAUUAAGUUGGAUGUGAAAUCCCCGGGCUUAACCUGGGAAUGGCAUUCAAGCUGGUUAGCUAGAGUCUUGUAGAGGGGGUAGAAUUCCAUGUGUAGCGGUGAAAUGCGUAGAGAUGUGGAGGAAUACCGGUGGCGAAGGCGGCCCCUGGACAAAGGACUGACGCUCAGUGUGCGAAAGCGUGGGGAGCAAAC